This 67-nucleotide transfer RNA is filed under the name Alteromonas sp. Its description in RNAcentral is "tRNA-Glu". It matches the Rfam family "tRNA", at positions 10 to 71 of the family's 71-position model. Rfam says of the family: Transfer RNA (tRNA) molecules are approximately 80 nucleotides in length. Their secondary structure includes four short double-helical elements and three loops (D, anti-codon, and T loops). The record is from RNAcentral. Lineage: Bacteria; Pseudomonadati; Pseudomonadota; Gammaproteobacteria; Alteromonadales; Alteromonadaceae.
GUCUAGAGGCCUAGGACACCGCCCUUUCACGGCGGUAACAGGGGUUCGAAUCCCCUAGGGGACGCCA